AUUGAACGCUGGCGGCAUGCUUUACACAUGCAAGUCGAACGGUAACAGGGAGCUUGCUCCGCUGACGAGUGGCGAACGGGUGAGUAAUGCAUCGGAACGUACCCAGUCGUGGGGGAUAACGUAGCGAAAGUUACGCUAAUACCGCAUACGUCCUGAGGGAGAAAGCGGGGGACCGUAAGGCCUCGCGCGAUUGGAGCGGCCGAUGUCGGAUUAGCUAGUUGGUAGGGUAAAGGCCUACCAAGGCGACGAUCCGUAGCGGGUCUGAGAGGAUGAUCCGCCACACUGGGACUGAGACACGGCCCAGACUCCUACGGGAGGCAGCAGUGGGGAAUUUUGGACAAUGGGCGAAAGCCUGAUCCAGCCAUGCCGCGUGAGUGAAGAAGGCCUUCGGGUUGUAAAGCUCUUUCAGGUGGAAAGAAAACGCAUAGGUUAAUACCUUGUGCGGAUGACGGUACCAUCAGAAGAAGCACCGGCUAACUACGUGCCAGCAGCCGCGGUAAUACGUAGGGUGCGAGCGUUAAUCGGAAUUACUGGGCGUAAAGCGUGCGCAGGC
This 553-nucleotide ribosomal RNA is filed under the name uncultured bacterium. Its description in RNAcentral is "bacterial SSU rRNA". It matches the Rfam family "Bacterial small subunit ribosomal RNA", at positions 28 to 576 of the family's 1533-position model. The record is from RNAcentral.